UACGUAGGGGGCGAGCGUUGUCCGGAGUUACUGGGCGUAAAGCGCACGCAGGCGGUCCGUUAAGUUUGGAGUGACAGUUGGUGGCUCAACCACCAAAGUGCUUUGAAAACUGGCAGACUUGAGGGCUUCAGAGGGACACGGAAUUCCGGGUGGAGUGGUGGAAUGCGUAGAGAUCCGGAGGAACACCAGCGGCGAAGGCGGCAUCCUGGACUGGUACUGACGCUCAGGAGCGAAAGCGUGGGGAGCGAUCCGG
RNAcentral lists this ribosomal RNA (253 nucleotides) under uncultured bacterium. Its description in RNAcentral is "partial 16S ribosomal RNA". It matches the Rfam family "Bacterial small subunit ribosomal RNA", at positions 524 to 776 of the family's 1533-position model. The record is from RNAcentral.